AUGUUAUUGUGGUGUUCUUUUGAUUUUAAUUUUAAUUUUUUUUUAUUGACUCAAAGGGUGUGCUCUAUUCUGGAUGUUUUUAGAGUCUAGGAUAAGUAGGUGAAUACCACAACAAAUAUCAUAUUAGGCUUUUUAGAACAAAUUAUUUGAGCAAGGAUAAACAAACAUAAGUAAUAAAACAAUACUAAACCAAAUGAUUAAAAUCAAUUGGUUAAUGACUUCCAUCAAAUGAUGAAUUGUUUAGAAGAACCCGAGUUCAAUUCUUGAGUGGAACAAUUCUUUGUCAUACUUUACUUAUCUCCCGAUCGAACUUCAAAUUAUAGGGUCUCUUUCCCCUACAAACUGAAUAUUUAAUACAAAAAUAAAACAAUAAUUAGUACUCCCUCCGAUCCUAAUUAUA
RNAcentral lists this long non-coding RNA (400 nucleotides) under Medicago truncatula (barrel medic). RNAcentral's name for it is "lncRNA gene5265". Lineage: Eukaryota; Viridiplantae; Streptophyta; Magnoliopsida; Fabales; Fabaceae. The record is from RNAcentral.